This 89-nucleotide transfer RNA is filed under the name Limisphaerales bacterium. RNAcentral's name for it is "tRNA-Ser". It matches the Rfam family "tRNA". From Rfam's summary of the family: Transfer RNA (tRNA) molecules are approximately 80 nucleotides in length. Their secondary structure includes four short double-helical elements and three loops (D, anti-codon, and T loops). Further hydrogen bonds mediate the characteristic L-shaped molecular structure. tRNAs have two regions of fundamental functional importance: the anti-codon, which is responsible for specific mRNA codon recognition, and the 3' end, to which the tRNAs corresponding amino acid is attached (by aminoacyl-tRNA synthetases). tRNAs cope with the degeneracy of the genetic code in two manners: having more than one tRNA (with a specific anti-codon) for a particular amino acid; and 'wobble' base-pairing, i.e. permitting non-standard base-pairing at the 3rd anti-codon position. Lineage: Bacteria; Pseudomonadati; Verrucomicrobiota; Verrucomicrobiia; Limisphaerales. The record is from RNAcentral.
GGAGAGAUGGCUGAGUGGUUUAAAGCGCGCGCCUGGAAAGCGCGUGUACCUAAAAAGUACCGGGGGUUCGAAUCCCCCUCUCUCCGCCA